This 557-nucleotide ribosomal RNA is filed under the name uncultured Geobacteraceae bacterium. RNAcentral's name for it is "bacterial SSU rRNA". It matches the Rfam family "Bacterial small subunit ribosomal RNA", at positions 9 to 538 of the family's 1533-position model. Lineage: Bacteria; Pseudomonadati; Thermodesulfobacteriota; Desulfuromonadia; Geobacterales; Geobacteraceae. The record is from RNAcentral.
GAGUUUGAUCCUGGCUCAGGAUGAACGCUGGCGGCGUGCCUAACACUUGCAAGUCGAGCGAGAAUUAAUGGACUAGAGACUUCGGUCAAAGGAAAGUUGAGGAAAGCGGCGGACGGGUGAGUAACGCGUGGGCAACCUGCCCCAUAYUAAGGGAUAGCCACUGGAAACGGUGAUUAAUACCCUAUAAAGCAGCGAGUUCGCAUGAACUUGCUGCCAAAGAUUUAUCGGUAUGGGAUGGGCCCGCGUCUGAUUAGCCAGUUGGUGGGGUAAUGGCCUACCAAGGCGACGAUGGUUAGCUGGUCUGAGAGGAUGAUCAGCCACACUGGAACUGAGACACAGUCCAGACUCCUACGGGAGGCAGCAGUGGGGAAUCUUGCGCAAUGGGCGAAAGCCUGACGCAGCAACGCCGCGUGGGUGAUGAAGGCCUUCGGGUCGUAAAGCCCUGUCGGAAGGAACGAAUUCUCUCAGGGUGAACAAUCCUGGGAGGUGACGGUACCUUCAAAGGAAGCACCGGSUAACUCCGUGCCAGCAGCCGCGGUAAUWCAAGKSYUUWUUWG